UUUCCCUGAAUGAAAAUAAGGCAGCUCUUGUGGAGAUGGAAGGAAUUCCAAGCAAAGCCAGAAAUUUGCAGAUGAAUUUGUUAAUGGCAAAGCUUUAUAGAAAUUCUAGACAUAAUCGAGCUGCUGUUGCAAUUUACAAAGAAUGUCUAAGGCAUUGUCCUUUCAUAA
This is a long non-coding RNA of Neltuma alba, 168 nucleotides long. RefSeq lists it as uncharacterized. Lineage: Eukaryota; Viridiplantae; Streptophyta; Magnoliopsida; Fabales; Fabaceae. The record is from RefSeq and is a predicted model, not a curated record. The transcript has 3 exons.